GCCGAAGUGGUGGAACGGUAGACACGCUACGUUCAGGGCGUAGUGGGGGUGACCCCGUGGGGGUUCAAAUCCCCCCUUCGGCACCA
Molecule: transfer RNA, 86 nt
Filed under: Nitrospirota bacterium
Lineage: Bacteria; Pseudomonadati; Nitrospirota
Also listed under: 2 other names
Description: Nitrospirae bacterium (groundwater metagenome) tRNA-Leu
Rfam family: tRNA
About the family: Transfer RNA (tRNA) molecules are approximately 80 nucleotides in length. Their secondary structure includes four short double-helical elements and three loops (D, anti-codon, and T loops).
Source: RNAcentral